This 253-nucleotide ribosomal RNA is filed under the name uncultured prokaryote. RNAcentral describes it as "partial 16S ribosomal RNA". It matches the Rfam family "Bacterial small subunit ribosomal RNA", at positions 524 to 776 of the family's 1533-position model. The record is from RNAcentral.
UACAGAGGGUGCAAGCGUUGUUCGGAUUUACUGGGCGUAAAGGGCGUGUAGGCGGAUCUGUAAGCCGAUGGUGAAAUCCCCGGGCUCAACCCUGGGUGGUCUGUCGGAACUGCAGGUCUAGAGAAAGCCAGAGGCAGGUGGAAUUCCAGGUGUAGAGGUGAAAUGCGUAGAUAUCAGGAGGAACACCGGUGGCGAAGGCGGCCCUCUGGACGGUGACUGACGCUGAGACGCGAAAGCGUGGGGAGCAAACAGG